Molecule: ribosomal RNA, 432 nt
Filed under: uncultured bacterium
Lineage: Bacteria
Description: partial 16S ribosomal RNA
Rfam family: Bacterial small subunit ribosomal RNA
Source: RNAcentral
AACGAACGCUGGCGGCAUGCCUAACACAUGCAAGUCGAACGAGACCUUCGGGUCUAGUGGCGCACGGGUGCGUAACGCGUGGGAACCUGCCCUUAGGUUCGGAAUAACUCCCCGAAAGGGGUGCUAAUACCGGAUAAUGUCUUCGGACCAAAGAUUUAUCGCCUUUGGAUGGGCCCGCGUUGGAUUAGCUAGUUGGUAGGGUAAAAGCCUACCAAGGCGACGAUCCAUAGCUGGUCUGAGAGGAUGAUCAGCCACACUGGGACUGAGACACGGCCCAGACUCCGACGGGAGGCAGCAGGGGGGAAUAUGGGACAAUGGGCGAAAGCCUGAGCCAGCAAGGCCGCGUGAGUGAUGAAGGCCUUAGGGUUGUAAAGCUCUUUUACCCGGGAUGAUAAUGACAGUACCGGGAGAAUAAGCUCCGGCUAACUCCGU